Molecule: long non-coding RNA, 1150 nt
Organism: Corvus hawaiiensis (hawaiian crow)
Lineage: Eukaryota; Metazoa; Chordata; Aves; Passeriformes; Corvidae
Exons: 2
Source: RefSeq, a predicted model, not a curated record
CCCUUCCCUUCCCUUCCCUUCCCUUCCCUUCCCUUCCCUUCCCUCCCCUUCCCUCCGCUCUUUUCCCGGGGCGGCCGCCCAGCCUCGGGCUCAGGGGGGAUACCGAGCGAGUUUCCUGCGCGCUGCUGCCCUCGUUAUACCCCUAACCUGUCACCCAGGGAGAGGGUCUUGGCAUUGGUAUUCCACAUUUCUUUUUUAAACAGCUUUUUUUUUUUUUUCCUUGACUAAACUUUGCCAUGACGUCGAGCCGUGCUAAAAGCGAGGAUUAAAGUACGCUGUCGUACCAGGUGGUCCGGGAAAGCCGUUCAAACAGGGAACACCUACUUCAGCUGUUCAGUUAGAACCUGUAUGACAGCCUCCGUAUAGGACCUGAGAUAUGACAACUCUUAACUGGAAUGAAAAAGGAAGGAUGAAUCUGCAGUUGAACUCCUUUAAGAGCAGAAGUACAAUGAUACAAUUCACCGAUGAUUUUCCACAAUGGAAGUGAAAGGAUGUGAGAGUUGAAGUGCAAAGGGUGAGACAGGGAGAAUCCAUGGGGGUGUCACUUCAUCAAUACUCAGAAGAAAGAAAAGAAGAAAGGAAAAUAGUGAAUUCACAAAAAGUCUGUGAAGGAGAAGCUCUGAGGGGCAUUAUGGCACUAAACGACAUCAAGCAAGUUAAUUCUAGCCAAAAGGUAUGAAAUGACCAAGAAGGGCUUAAAAACUAAGAACAAAUAGACUUGUUGGUAGAUGGGAUUCAGGAUAAAGUGACAACUCGAGCAGCUGACAUGCUGAAGUCCUGACCCUCCCAUCAGCUCCUGCUGACAGCACUGGAACAGGGAGCACAUUCUGUGCAUUUUAAAAUGUAUAUCCAGUAUGAGAAGUGUAAGACUAUAAUUGGGCAAGUAUGGAAGCAAGAGAUAAAAAGUUCACAUAAAUCUGAAUAUCCAGACGAAAACAGAACUACCCAGCUGCAACAAACAGACCAUUUAAUUUAAGCCCCAUUAUGAAAAAAUAUUAACACACUAAGAAAAACCCAUUAUGGUAACCUGUAGUUCACUCUGACAUCCAGGAAAUUAAGCAACUCCCUUUAUAACUAUACACAGGAUUGUGGUCCUGCAAAAUAAUACUAAUCAUAAGCAGCACACAAUAAAAAAUUAUAUAAGAAAUCA